RNAcentral lists this ribosomal RNA (493 nucleotides) under uncultured bacterium. RNAcentral describes it as "partial 16S ribosomal RNA". It matches the Rfam family "Bacterial small subunit ribosomal RNA", at positions 29 to 508 of the family's 1533-position model. The record is from RNAcentral.
AGUGAACGCUGGCGGUAGGCCUAACACAUGCAAGUCGAACGGCAGCACAGUAAGAGCUUGCUCUUACGGGUGGCGAGUGGCGGACGGGUGAGGAAUACAUCGGAAUCUACUUUUUCGUGGGGGAUAACGUAGGGAAACUUACGCUAAUACCGCAUACGACCUACGGGUGAAAGCAGGGGAUCUUCGGACCUUGCGCGAUUGAAUGAGCUGAUGUCGGAUUAGCUAGUUGGCGGGGUAAAGGCCCACCAAGGCGACGAUCCGUAGCUGGUCUGAGAGGAUGAUCAGCCACACUGGAACUGAGACACGGUCCAGACUCCUACGGGAGGCAGCAGUGGGGAAUAUUGGACAAUGGGCGCAAGCCUGAUCCAGCCAUACCGCGUGGGUGAAGAAGGCCUUCGGGUUGUAAAGCCCUUUUGUUGGGAAAGAAAAGCAGCAGGUUAAUACCCCGCUGUUCUGACGGUACCCAAAGAAUAAGCACCGGCUAACUUCGUGC